This 468-nucleotide ribosomal RNA is filed under the name uncultured bacterium. Its description in RNAcentral is "partial 16S ribosomal RNA". It matches the Rfam family "Bacterial small subunit ribosomal RNA", at positions 28 to 507 of the family's 1533-position model. The record is from RNAcentral.
GACGAACGCUGGCGGCGUGCCUAACACAUGCAAGUCGAACGGAAAGGGCCUGCGUGUUUGGGCUGCUCGAGUGGCGAACGGGUGAGUAACACGUGAGUGACCUGCCCUUGACUUUGGGAUAACUUCAGCAAACUGGGGCUACUACUGGAUAGGAGCUCCUCCUGCAUGGAGAGGGUUGGAAAGGUUCGGCGGGUGGGGAUGGACGCGCGGGUUAUGAGCUUGUUGGUGGGGGAUAGGCUGACCAAGGAUGUGCCAGGUAGCCGGCCUGGGAGGGGGGCCGGCGACAUUGGGACUGAGAGACGGCGCAGUCGGCAACGGGAGGCAGCGGUCGGGAGUCUGGCACAAUGGGCGGAAGCGUGAUGAAAAGGCGCCGCGUGCGGGAUGACGGGCUUCGGGUUGUGAACCGCUUUCGCCUGUGACGAAGCGUGAGUGACGGUAAUGGGUCAAGAAGCAACGGCUAACUACGUG